CCUCGGGGAGUACGACCGCAAGGUUGAAACUCAAAAGGAAUUGACGGGGACCCGCACAAGCGGUGGAGCAUGUGGUUUAAUUCGAAGCAACGCGAAGAACCUUACCAAAUCUUGCAAUCCUCUGACCCCUCUAAAGAUAGAGUUUUCCCCUUCGGGGGACAAAAUGACAGGUGGUGCAUGGUUGUCGUCAGCUCGUGUCGUGAAAUGUUGGGUUAAGUCCCGCAACGAGCGCAACCCUUAAAGCUUAUUUGCCAUCAUUAAAUUGGGCACUCUAAGUUGACUGCCGGUGACAAACCGGGAGGAAGGUGGGGAUGACGUCAAAUCAUCAUGCCCCUUAUGAUUUUGGGCUACACACGUGCUACAAAUGGACAAUACAAAAAGGGGUAAGCGGAAACCGCGAAGGGUCAAGCAAAAUUCCCAUAAAAGGUUGUUCUCAUGUUCGAGGAAUUUGUAGUCUGCAACUCCGACUUAUAUGAAACCUGGAAUCGCUAUUAAAUCCGUUAGAAU
RNAcentral lists this ribosomal RNA (507 nucleotides) under uncultured Lactobacillus sp. Its description in RNAcentral is "bacterial SSU rRNA". It matches the Rfam family "Bacterial small subunit ribosomal RNA", at positions 875 to 1355 of the family's 1533-position model. The record is from RNAcentral. Lineage: Bacteria; Bacillati; Bacillota; Bacilli; Lactobacillales; Lactobacillaceae.